This 486-nucleotide ribosomal RNA is filed under the name uncultured bacterium. Its description in RNAcentral is "partial 16S ribosomal RNA". It matches the Rfam family "Bacterial small subunit ribosomal RNA", at positions 29 to 507 of the family's 1533-position model. The record is from RNAcentral.
AUUGAACGCUGGCGGCAUGCUUUACACAUGCAAGUCGAGCGGCAGCGCGGGGGCAACCCUGGCGGCGAGCGGCGAACGGGUGAGUAAUGCAUCGGAACGUAUCCUCGAGUGGGGGAUAACCCAGCGAAAGUUGGGCUAAUACCGCAUGAGCUCUGAGGAGGAAAGCGGGGGACCUGCGAGGGCCUCGCGCUGGAGGAGCGGCCGAUGUCCGAUUAGCUAGUUGGUGGGGUAAAGGCUUACCAAGGCGACGAUCGGUAGCUGGUCUGAGAGGAUGAUCAGCCACACUGGGACUGAGACACGGCCCAGACUCCUACGGGAGGCAGCAGUGGGGAAUUUUGGACAAUGGGGGCAACCCUGAUCCAGCCAUGCCGCGUGAGUGAAGAAGGCCUUCGGGUUGUAAAGCUCUUUCGGACGGAACGAAAUGGGCGGGACUAAUACUCCUGUCUGAUGACGGUACCGUAAGAAGAAGCACCGGCUAACUACAUG